AGUAGCAGAUCCUGGCUGUGACAUCUGUCACCCCAUUGGUCACCAGGGUUGAUUAGGCUAAUCUGGCUGGCUAGACGCGUGUCCCCUUCCUCCCUCACCACUCUAUGUGCAUCCCUCCUGAAACUGCACACUCCAUCAAAGAGGACGACCACCCCUGAUAGAGGAGGACCAUUUACUCUGUUAAGAGUAUUCAAGUAGCUGUGCUCCCCUGCUAGAGCCUCCAAACUAGUAGAAUGCAAAGACAGUUUAAAAAAAGAGGAGAUACCAAGAAAUAUUCUCACUAAGGAAGCUAUUAGUGCUU
Unclassified non-coding RNA from Fukomys damarensis (Damara mole-rat), 301 nucleotides. Its record names the gene 7SK. It matches the Rfam family "7SK RNA". Rfam says of the family: 7SK was discovered as an abundant small nuclear RNA in the mid-70s but a possible function has only recently been suggested. Two independent studies have found that 7SK RNA binds the CDK9/cyclin T complex (known as elongation factor P-TEFb). P-TEFb activates transcription by phosphorylating the C-terminal domain of RNA polymerase II. The record is from Ensembl. Lineage: Eukaryota; Metazoa; Chordata; Mammalia; Rodentia; Bathyergidae.